Molecule: ribosomal RNA, 252 nt
Filed under: uncultured bacterium
Lineage: Bacteria
Description: partial 16S ribosomal RNA
Rfam family: Bacterial small subunit ribosomal RNA
Source: RNAcentral
GACGAACGCUGGCGGCGUGCUUAACACAUGCAAGUCGAGCGGUAAGGCCCUUUCGGGGGUACGACGAGCGGCGAACGGGUGAGUAACACGUGGGUGACCUGCCCUCAGCUCUGGGAUAAGCCUGGGAAACCGGGUACUAAUACUGGAUAUGACUCCAUGACGCAUGUUGUGGGGUGGAAAGCCUUGUGCGGCUGAGGAUGGGCCCGCGGCCUAUCAGCUUGUUGGUGGGGUGAUGGCCUACCAAGGCGACGA